RNAcentral lists this ribosomal RNA (745 nucleotides) under uncultured Bacillus sp. Its description in RNAcentral is "bacterial SSU rRNA". It matches the Rfam family "Bacterial small subunit ribosomal RNA", at positions 726 to 1457 of the family's 1533-position model. The record is from RNAcentral. Lineage: Bacteria; Bacillati; Bacillota; Bacilli; Caryophanales; Bacillaceae.
UCUCUGGUCUGUAACUGACGCUGAGGAGCGAAAAGCGUGGGGAGCCAAAGGAUUAGAUACCCUGGUAGUCCACGCCGUAAACGAUGAGUGCUAAGUGUUAGGGGGUUUCCGCCCCUUAGUGCUGCAGCUAACGCAUUAAGCACUCCGCCUGGGGAGUACGGUCGCAAGACUGAAACUCAAAGGAAUUGACGGGGGCCCGCACAAGCGGUGGAGCAUGUGGUUUAAUUCGAAGCAACGCGAAGAACCUUACCAGGUCUUGACAUCCUCUGACAAUCCUAGAGAUAGGACGUCCCCUUCGGGGGCAGAGUGACAGGUGGUGCAUGGUUGUCGUCAGCUCGUGUCGUGAGAUGUUGGGUUAAGUCCCGCAACGAGCGCAACCCUUGAUCUUAGUUGCCAGCAUUCAGUUGGGCACUCUAAGGUGACUGCCGGUGACAAACCGGAGGAAGGUGGGGAUGACGUCAAAUCAUCAUGCCCCUUAUGACCUGGGCUACACACGUGCUACAAUGGACAGAACAAAGGGCAGCGAAAACCGCGAGGUUAAGCCAAUCCCACAAAUCUGUUCUCAGUUCGGAUCGCAGUCUGCAACUCGACUGCGUGAAGCUGGAAUCGCUAGUAAAUCGCGGAUCAGCAUGCCGCGGUGAAAUACGUUCCCGGGCCCUUGUACACAACCGCCCGUCACCACCACGAGAAGUUUGUAACACCCCGAAGUUCGGUGAAGGUUACCUUUUUAGGAGCCCAGCCCGCC